This 492-nucleotide ribosomal RNA is filed under the name Triticum aestivum (bread wheat). RNAcentral describes it as "partial small subunit ribosomal RNA". Lineage: Eukaryota; Viridiplantae; Streptophyta; Magnoliopsida; Poales; Poaceae. The record is from RNAcentral.
AUGGAUUGGUUUCAAGAAAGCAAAGCUAAGGAUGUGCCAAACAAGGAUGUGAUAAGGCACAAAACAAUUAUGGAGUACAAAGAAACGGGCUGGCGUUCUGAGGAGAUAAAGAAACUAUAUGCUGACUGGAUGCAUCCAAGUUGGGACAAUUACCCGGGCGAAGCUGUGCUGGUGAAAGCAUGCACCCUUGCUCACACAAUGCUCAAGAUGGAGUUGGAGCUCAUAGAUAAGAUGGCGAUAAUUGAAACAGUGUGGAAGGAGACGUUGUGCUACGCAGCAAGCAAUGCAACUGGGGAUUUCCAUGCCAGGCAGCUGAGCAAUGGCGGCGAGUUUCUGACCCACAUCCUGCUCCUCAAUCAAUAUGCCGCUGCCAUGCACAAGAUAGCAAAGCCGGUGGAAGUAGAUGAUGGGAGUGUUGGGGCUAGUGCUGCUAGGGAUGCCGAGCUGGAUGUGGAGAAUGGCUGGAAGGAUGAGAUCACCGAAAGCUGCUGA